UACGAAGGGGGCUAGCGUUGCUCGGAAUUACUGGGCGUAAAGGGCGCGUAGGCGGCACUGUUAGUCAGGCGUGAAAGUCCUGGGCUCAACCUGGGAACUGCGCUUGAUACGGCAGAGCUAGAGGAUGGAAGAGGCUCGCGGAAUUCCCAGUGUAGAGGUGAAAUUCGUAGAUAUUGGGAAGAACACCGGGUGGCGAAGGCGGCGAGCUGGUCCAUUACUGACGCUGAGGCGCGACAGCGUGGGGAGCAAACAGG
RNAcentral lists this ribosomal RNA (254 nucleotides) under uncultured bacterium. RNAcentral's name for it is "partial 16S ribosomal RNA". It matches the Rfam family "Bacterial small subunit ribosomal RNA", at positions 524 to 776 of the family's 1533-position model. The record is from RNAcentral.